Molecule: unclassified non-coding RNA, 232 nt
Filed under: plant metagenome
Description: partial contains small subunit ribosomal RNA, internal transcribed spacer 1, and 5.8S ribosomal RNA
Rfam family: 5.8S ribosomal RNA (bases 184-232)
Source: RNAcentral
UUUCCGUAGGUGAACCAGCGGAGGGAUCAUUACAGGAUCGAAAGACUCCUAUAACCCCUGUGAACUUACUACAAAUACGUUGCUUCGGCGGGUGCCCCGGGUCUCCCGGGGCGUUCAGCCCGCCGGCAGCCUUCAAAUUCUGUUUCUUUGCGUUGGCAUCUCGAGUAUACAAAAAUAAGUUAAAACUUUCAACAACGGAUCUCUUGGUUCUGGCAUCAAUGAAGAACGCAGC